AAGGCCCGGCGGUACUGCUCCUCCACACGGAGAGCUGAUGGUGCUGCUGCUCCUCGGCACCUUUGAGCGGUCUGUUAAUAGGAGGCGUGAGGCGAGCUGCAAGACUUCACGGCACCUUUGAGUGGUCUGCUAAUAGAAGGCAUGAGGCGAGCUGCAAGAUUUCAGGCACAUAAACAGCGCAAUGGCAAGAGCUAUAUAAUAUCACAUUGAUAUUCUGGACCCCGCAGGAGAAUAUAUAUUUAAGUGGUGUACAUGUACUAUGUAUAACUAGAAGAAGAUUACUAUAUUUGUGACUACACUAGAAAUUUAUAGUUGUUGCAGCACGUGGUUAGUUUACAAUAUCACGGUGGUGGUCAUCGACCAGUUAUAGGGUGCUCCAGUGCUCGAAGGCCCGGCGGUACUGCUCCUCGACAGGGAGAGCUGGUGGUGUUGCUGCUCCUCGGCACCUUGGAGCGGUCUGCUAAUAUGAGGCGUGAGGCGAGCUGCAAGACUUCUGGCACACAAACAGCACAACAGCAAGAGCUAUACAAUAUCACAUUGAUACAUAUUCUGCACCCCGCAGGAGACAUUAUAUAUUUAAGUGGUGUACAUCUACUAUAUAUACCUACAAGAUUACCUAUGUUUGCGACUCUACAAGUAC
This is a long non-coding RNA of Triticum dicoccoides, 640 nucleotides long. RefSeq lists it as uncharacterized. The record is from RefSeq and is a predicted model, not a curated record. The transcript is spliced from 3 exons. NCBI's taxonomy places the organism in Eukaryota, Viridiplantae, Streptophyta, Magnoliopsida, Poales, Poaceae.